UAGGUAUCUCAGUAACGAAGAAGACGCAUACAUGGCAGGCAUGGUACAGAGCGCUUCCUUGCACAGCCUUGCCCAUGAGCUCGUCCCUGGCCUGGAGGGACCCACUCUAGAGGUGAUUUCUCCUAUCUGCAAACUAACCAGUUUCCUGCCAUGAGGAACUGUCAUGAAGAGGAAUCAAAUAAUAAUAAAAAAAAAUUAGUAGUGCAUUCUUUUCUAUCCAUGUGCUGUAUAAGUUCAAAGACUUCUAAUAAAUGUAGGCAAUUGGAAGAAUCAGGGUGUUGUUGUUGUUGUUGUUGUUGUUGUUGUUGCUGUCCACAUCAUCGUCUUGGCUCUUUGGCUUGAAGAGGCUUCAAUAUGCUGGUGUAUUUAAUAUGAAAAAGAUAAAGCAGAUGUCAAUAGGGCUUACCAUUGGGAACAUCUACUUCAGACUUGGUGUCCCAAUGGCCAGGUGACUCAGGAAACGGCAAACCAUAUAAAGUUGUUAGUGACAGAUGCCGCUUGAAAUAUUUUUCUAACUCGAAAGCUUGUCAGGCGGUAAAUCUACAGAGCAGAGUGUUCAAGAUGCAGGUCGGCCCUCCUUUGGCUUUGUGAGUACAGUACAUCACCAAGAGUCAGAGGGACCAUCGUGAGUCUUUUAGCGGAGAGAUCAGUGUGGUCUAGUUGUGCUAAGAAUUACUGUGCGCUAAGCUGUGUUAAGAACAUGCCUUGGCUAAACUCUGUCCUCCAAGACCAGGUGUGUUAGAAAAUACUGUCUUUGUACUCAGCAAGUCCUGUUCCCUCCUUUCUCAAAUAAAAAGAAGAAAACAAAAAGAAAACCGAUGACCUGCUCUGGUUUCCCAUUGCCAGCAGGACCUUCUCAUUCCCCCUCCUUAAUAACCUCGUAGGGCUUUCCGUUGCCUCGGGAGUCUACACUUCUUAGUAUGGCUCUCAAGGGCUUUAGCAAUCUGAUCUUAAUAUUUCCACCGCUCCUUCCUUGACUUGUAGGCUGGCAGUUUCUGCCAUCCUCGGUGACCAGUUUCUACAUGACUGUACAGGGGGCAUACCUCAGUGCCUUUGCUUCUGUUGUAUCUUGUUUGUCCUGGAAUGUCCUGCACCAACUGCUGCACCUGUAGAAUUCUUAUUGCUCCACCAAAGGCCAAUACAAAUAGCAUCUGCCAUGGAAAGCCUUCUGCAACCCCCACCCUCUUUGUUAAACUAUUAACUGCAGCUUCUCUGCUCCCACAGUACAUUAUUAAGGUGGCAGUACAGAAAGUAUAUUGUAAAUCGUUGUUGUUUAUGUAGCUUUGUCCUAGAUAUGGUUUAAUUAUCUUUCUAUCCCUUAGGCUUAGCAGAAUGAUUGGUAUGUACUAUGUGUUCAUUUAAUAUCUGUGUAUUUUAAAUAAGUGUGUGUGUGUCUGUGUGUGUGUGUACAGACACAAUAUUAUGACCUCCCGUUCUUCUUGCAAAUUUGAGGCUAGGGAAGAAUAAUGAUCUUUUCAUUAUUAACAGCUGAAAGGAAGAACAGAUAUUUAAUAUUUGAAAUUGUAUUGUGAGAUUCGUACUAUAUUAUUUUGGAAACCAAUACUGCAACUCAAAGGGCUUCUUGAUGUCUGGCAACUUACCAUAUGUAUCUCGAGUCUCAGUUUUAGCACUGCUUGCUUUAAAGUUUUGGUUUCUUUUCUUAAUAUUUAAGUCAGAAUCUCAUCCAGAAGGCUUAAAAGUACUUAUUUUUAGUCUAAGAUGAAAAACAUGUUACUUUUCUGAGUGACCUCUUAAGCACCAUUUGUUUGCAUUAUCAAUACAAGAUUUUAUAAACCAGAUGAUCAACUCUAUAGAGUAAAAAGUAAAGAGUCAUUUUCACUUACCUUUGGCAUCUAUUUAAAGGCAGAGGAGAAAACAUAUCUUUGAGAGCAAAGCAUUGGCCAUUCUUUCCACCCAUGGAGAGAGUACAUUCUAUCAAGGAAAAUAUCCUACGUUUGUCUGAUCUAUGGAGGGAAAAGCGAUCCUAAUGUGUUAAACAAUUUGGGAAGUGGAUGUCUUGAUAAUCCUAGAUUAUUCACUGAGUCUUAAGGUAAAUUCCAGAAGUAAAUGGCAUUUAUUUGUUCAAAGUGCAAACACGUGACAUGGCUAUGUUUUUCUGGCCUGGAAUGUAAGUAUGUUUCCUUAGCUUCGCAGGGACCACUGAUUUCACAACGCUGGCCCUCUUCAGAAGUAGCUGCACACAACCAUGCUUUCCGUCUGCUCUUCCUUGGAAUCCUCUGCCUUUUCAGCUUUCUGAGCAGCUUCCUCACUUCUUUUGUUUGUAACUCUUUCUGGAGUCCAAACAAGAGGAGCCAAAUCAUCCCCUGCAGUAUCAAUUGCUUGAGUGGAAACCUUGCUUUGUAAAUGAGAGGGUGAGAUGUGACCCAAUAACAGAGUCUAUUUUUAUUUUAAUUUUAAUUUAUUUCCUGGUGGCCCUUUAUGCCUCCUUAGGCGAUGACCUAACCAAUUCUAUCUUAACACUGAUUUUUUGUUUCUUCCAAGGUCAAAAAGCACGUUGGAAUCAUUAUGACAGGAGAGUAAAUGUUUUCUUGCCUCUAAUGGAAAGUCCAUCUCUUCAUAUGAAAUGUAAAGUCUGGUUUUCGCAGCUUUACGAAGCGCAGCUUUUCUCUCGUGAGGCUUCUAUUAGCAAGCUAACAGAGAACAGGGGGAAGAAAGAUCUUUGAUUUUUGAUGGAAACACCAUCUCUUGUAAUCUCUUUCAUCCCUCUCCUUUCUCAGAUGGGAGUCUUUAAUAACGCAGCCAAAGGAACUGUCUUCAUUUUGUGCUGCAGUUUCACAUAGCAAAGUGCAAUCAAAAGUCAAAACUGUCCUAGAAGGCGCUCAACCUGUGGUUUUCCAGGUUGGAAAAGGGAAAGCUGUUACACCAUCACACGUAGACAUGUGUCCCCAUACUACCGCC
Long non-coding RNA from Lynx canadensis (Canada lynx), 2919 nucleotides. RefSeq lists it as uncharacterized. NCBI's taxonomy places the organism in Eukaryota, Metazoa, Chordata, Mammalia, Carnivora, Felidae. The record is from RefSeq and is a predicted model, not a curated record. The transcript has 3 exons.